RNAcentral lists this small RNA (78 nucleotides) under Xenorhabdus griffiniae. RNAcentral's name for it is "isrK". It matches the Rfam family "isrK Hfq binding RNA". Lineage: Bacteria; Pseudomonadati; Pseudomonadota; Gammaproteobacteria; Enterobacterales; Morganellaceae. RNAcentral also lists the same sequence under 1 other name. The record is from RNAcentral.
GCACCAGCAAAAUCUGGUGUCAGGCGUGAGAACCUGAUUAACAUCUUGGCGACACAUGACGCGCCUAGCGUCUUUUUU